UACAGAGGAGCCAAGCGUUGUCCGGAUUGACUGGGCGUAAAGCGCACGCAGGCGGACGCGCGCGUGGGGUGUGAAAUCUGGCCGCUUAACGGCCAGGCGCCAUCCCAUACGGCGCGUCUGGAGUGAUGCAGAGGUCGAUGGAAUUGCCGGUGUAGUGGUGAAAUGCGUAGAGAUCGGCAGGAACACCCAGGGGGAAACCAGUCGACUGGGCAUCUACUGACGCUGAGGCACGAAAGCUAGGGUAGCGAACGGG
This 253-nucleotide ribosomal RNA is filed under the name uncultured bacterium. RNAcentral's name for it is "partial 16S ribosomal RNA". It matches the Rfam family "Bacterial small subunit ribosomal RNA", at positions 524 to 776 of the family's 1533-position model. The record is from RNAcentral.